AUGAACGCUGGCGGCGUGCCUAACACAUGCAAGUCGAACGGAGAUAGACGCUGACGAGACUUCGGUCAAAUCUGUUUAAUCUUAGUGGCGGACGGGUGAGUAACGCGUGGGCAACCUGCCUCAUACUGGGGGAUAGCAGUUGGAAACGACUGAUAAUACCGCAUAAGCGCACGGAGUCGCAUGACCCUGUGUGAAAAACUCCGGUGGUAUGAGAUGGGCCCGCGUCAGAUUAGCUAGUUGGUAAGGUAACGGCUUACCAAGGCGACGAUCUGUAGCCGGACUGAGAGGUCGGACGGCCACAUUGGGACUGAGACACGGCCCAAACUCCUACGGGAGGCAGCAGUGGGGGAUAUUGCACAAUGGAGGAAACUCUGAUGCAGCGACGCCGCGUGAGUGAAGAAGUAUUUCGGUAUGUAAAGCUCUAUCAGCAGGGAAGAAAGGCCCGCAAGGGAGAUGACGGUACCUGACUAAGAAGCCCCGGCUAACUACGUGCCAGCAGCGGC
This 503-nucleotide ribosomal RNA is filed under the name uncultured bacterium. RNAcentral's name for it is "bacterial SSU rRNA". It matches the Rfam family "Bacterial small subunit ribosomal RNA", at positions 29 to 518 of the family's 1533-position model. The record is from RNAcentral.